CUGUGAUUCCCUAGCUCAAGUGCCCCCGCCCGCCCCAUGUUAAACCAAAUAUGAACAAAAAGCAAUAACAUUUUGUCACAACUGCCUUUUGCAGUGACCUUUGGAGGUCAGGCCACCGAUACAAGAUCUAAACCCAAAGGCAAUGUUCUGACCACUUGUGGCUGGCAGGCUGCCAUUCAAAAGAUGGAAAUGGCUGCAGGCCACCAAGAUUCUUGGCUGGGACAUUUUUAAUAAACAUAGAACAUAAGAGCAGCAUUUUCCACUUGGAUUGCUUAAUUUGGUGCCAUACCAUUGGAACGUUUGCUGUUAGGACAGAGAUGAUGUGAUAUAUAACUUAUUUAGCUCAGGAUGGAGUAACUUUCACCAAUGAGAAAUAGGUUAUGGAGUCAUCCCUGAGGAAUUUUCACCCUUGCUGCUCAUCUGGCAGGAGACAGCUUGAGUCAUAGCAGCAGUGACCCCCAUUCCGUGCCAGCUCUCGUGGCCCUCGGUAAGUUUGCCCUGAAACACCAGCUCUGCUGAGUGUGCUGCUAUGCACGUAUGGACAGAAGCAAAUUGGUGCGACUCUGGCUGAAGCCACGUCUUUAUGAAUACUUUUCCCAGAGAGUUCAAUGUGUCUGCAUAACUCUUCCGAGAAGAAAGCCUCCACAGCAACUGUCCUCUAAAGUGGAGAACAAUACUUGAGGCACAGACGCCUCAGGCCCUGAUGGAACUGAGUGACCAUAAUCUCUUCACUCAACCUGGCCUUCAUAGUCAUCUCAGUUGCACCCCAAGUCACUCCAGGGAUGAGAGGCCUGGUGACAGGAACUGGCGGCAGCAACCUUCUCCGGCUCAGGGUCCUACCAGAAUGCUGGAUGUAAAUGCGGACACUCGAAUCCCGGGAUUGUGGGUCCCUGCGCCCCCGCACCCUUUGGCUCCGACGUGCACAUAGGGGUGUUCUGCACCCGCCCUCGGCAGAGGUAGCUCCCGGCUGCUGGGGCAGGAGGAUUUGACCGGGCACGCGGUCCGGUCAGGCGGUGCGGGCAGGGGUCGGUUCUAGAGCAGGGCGCAGGG
Molecule: long non-coding RNA, 1050 nt
Filed under: Heterocephalus glaber (naked mole-rat)
Lineage: Eukaryota; Metazoa; Chordata; Mammalia; Rodentia; Bathyergidae
Description: lncRNA (ENSHGLG00100036428.1)
Source: RNAcentral